CACAAGUGGUGCCUUUUUAAUUUUACUCACCCGGGAGUGGGAGAAAAAAAGGUGCUACCCGCUGCGGUGCUUUUACUGAUGGGGCAGCACUCCGGGUCUUUGGCAGCACUUCGGCGGCGGGACCUUCACUCGCUCUGGGUCCUCAGCACCAUUU
Chelonoidis abingdonii (Abingdon island giant tortoise) is the source of this 154-nucleotide non-coding RNA. Lineage: Eukaryota; Metazoa; Chordata; Testudines; Testudinidae. The record is from RefSeq and is a predicted model, not a curated record.